RNAcentral lists this ribosomal RNA (253 nucleotides) under uncultured bacterium. RNAcentral describes it as "partial 16S ribosomal RNA". It matches the Rfam family "Bacterial small subunit ribosomal RNA", at positions 524 to 776 of the family's 1533-position model. The record is from RNAcentral.
UACGUAGGAGGCGAGCGUUGUCCGGAUUGACUGGGCGUAAAGCGCACGCAGGCGGACGCGCGCGUGGGGUGUGAAAUCUGGCCGCUUAACGGCCAGGCGCCAUCCCAUACGGCGCGUCUGGAGUGAUGCAGAGGUCGAUGGAAUUGCCGGUGUAGUGGUGAAAUGCGUAGAGAUCGGCAGGAACACCCAGGGGGAAACCAGUCGACUGGGCAUCUACUGACGCUGAGGUGCGAGAGCGUGGGGAGCGAACCGG